UUUUGUUUACACUCUUUUUACGCAGACAUAUUCAAAUCGAGUACACCGAAAAUCCCGAUAACACAGAUCUGUGUAAAAAAAUUACACAGUUUGUUGAACAUGUUCUAGCUGUCAAAACUGUGUAGAUUUAUAACACAGAUCUGUGUAAAAAAUUACACAGAUUUCCGUUCAGCUUCCCUUUCAAACCUGGGUAAAAAAUGUAAAAAAGCUAAGAUGGCGUCUUUCAUGCAGAACUUUGAUUUUUAACAUGCUGAUCAUCAAUUGGACCGUACACCCACAGGGAGCAGUUUGAUUCAUGAGUUUGUUUCGUGUCCCACAUAUAUUCUCACGGAAAGGAUAGGCUUGGUCGGAACCUCGAUCCAGAAUCCAGAGUUGAACACCAGCAGAGCAUCAGCCCGCGCUUACAAUUUCCCGGUUCCGGUUCCGGAUCUUCCAGAGACAGCACGAGUUAACACUGCGUCGCGUCCAAGUUUUCCAGCUUUUUCGAUAUUUAUUGAAUAUUGUUUUAUGUAUGAAGCUCAAUUUAUGGAUUAAUAAAUCUUGCAUUUUUUAAUUUUUAUUGGCCUGGACAUUUUAAAUCAACAACUGAAUUAAAAAUAUAUUGCAAUUUUUUACCCAGAUUCUGUGUAAUAUAUUACCCAGAUCUGUGUAAAAUUUUACACAGAUUGCAGUUUCAAAAUUACACAGAUUUGACAGACAACGAUUGUACACAGAUCUGUGUACAAGGCUUCGACACAGAUUCUGUGUAUUCCAGGUUUUGGGCGAUCUGUGUCAAAUUUUACACAGAUCUGUGUUAUUUGGAUU
Culex pipiens pallens (northern house mosquito) is the source of this 804-nucleotide long non-coding RNA. RefSeq lists it as uncharacterized. The transcript is spliced from 3 exons. The record is from RefSeq and is a predicted model, not a curated record. Lineage: Eukaryota; Metazoa; Arthropoda; Insecta; Diptera; Culicidae.